This 406-nucleotide ribosomal RNA is filed under the name uncultured bacterium. Its description in RNAcentral is "partial 16S ribosomal RNA". It matches the Rfam family "Bacterial small subunit ribosomal RNA", at positions 30 to 526 of the family's 1533-position model. The record is from RNAcentral.
AUUGAACGCUGGCGGCAGGCCUAACACAUGCAAGUCGGACGAGCGGCGGACGGGCGGGUAAUGGAUGGGGAUCUGCCUGACGGAGGGGGAUAACUAGUGGAACCGGUGGCUAAUACCGCAAACCAUCAGAUGCACCCUUAGUGGAUUAGCUUGUAGGUAAGGUAACGGCUUACCUAGGCGACGCGCCCUAGCUGGUCCGAGAGGAUGAUCGGCCACACUGGGACUGAGACACGGCCCAGACUCCUACGGGAGGCAGCAGUGGGGAAUAUUGCGCAAUGGGCGAAAGCCUGAUGCAGCCAUGCCGCGUGUAUGAAGAAGGCCUUCGGGUUGUAAAGUACUUUCAGUCGGGAGGCGUUACCGACAGAAGAAGCACCGGCUAACUCCGUGCCAGCAGCCGCGGUAAUUC